UACGGAGGGUGCUAGCGUUAAUCGGAAUUACUGGGCGUAAAGCGCCCGCAGGCGGUCUGUCAAGUCAGAUGUGAAAUCCCCGGGCUCAACCUGGGAACUGCAUUUGAGACUGGCAGGCUUGAAGCUGGUAGAGGUGGGUAGAAUUCCAAGUGUAGCGGUGAAAUGCGUAGAUAUCCGGAGGAAUACCGGUGGCGAAGGCGGCUACCUGGACCA
RNAcentral lists this ribosomal RNA (213 nucleotides) under uncultured bacterium. RNAcentral's name for it is "partial 16S ribosomal RNA". It matches the Rfam family "Bacterial small subunit ribosomal RNA", at positions 524 to 736 of the family's 1533-position model. The record is from RNAcentral.